UUUGAUCCUGGCUCAGGAUGAACGCUAGCGGGAGGCCUAACACAUGCAAGCCGAGCGGUAUUUGUCUUUCGGGACAGAGAGAGCGGCGUACGGGUGCGGAACACGUGUGCAACCUGCCUUUAUCAGGGAGAUAGCCUUUCGAAAGGAAGAUUAAUAUCCCAUAAUAUAAUGAAUGGCAUCAUUUAUUAUUGAAAGCUCCGGCGGAUAGAGAUGGGCACGCGCAAGAUUAGAUAGUUGGUGAGGUAACGGCUCACCAAGUCAGUGAUCUUUAGGGGGCCUGAGAGGGUGAUCCCCCACACUGGUACUGAGACACGGACCAGACUCCUACGGGAGGCAGCAGUGAGGAAUAUUGGACAAUGGGUGAGAGCCUGAUCCAGCCAUCCCGCGUGAAGGACGACGGUUCUAUGGAUUGUAAACUUCUUUUAUACUGGGAUAAACCUACCCUCGUGAGGGUAGCUGAAGGUACAGUAUGAAUAAGCACCGGCUAACUCCGUG
RNAcentral lists this ribosomal RNA (495 nucleotides) under uncultured Chryseobacterium sp. RNAcentral describes it as "bacterial SSU rRNA". It matches the Rfam family "Bacterial small subunit ribosomal RNA", at positions 12 to 507 of the family's 1533-position model. The record is from RNAcentral. Lineage: Bacteria; Pseudomonadati; Bacteroidota; Flavobacteriia; Flavobacteriales; Weeksellaceae.